CCUACGGGAGGCAGCAGUGGGGAAUAUUGCACAAUGGGCGAAAGCCUGAUGCAGCAACGCCGCGUGAGCGAUGAAGGCCUUCGGGUCGUAAAGCUCUGUCCUCAAGGAAGAUAAUGACGGUACUUGAGGAGGAAGCCCCGGCUAACUACGUGCCAGCAGCCGCGGUAAUACGUAGGGGGCUAGCGUUAUCCGGAAUUACUGGGCGUAAAGGGUGCGUAGGUGGUUUCUUAAGUCAGCGGUAAAAGCCCGGGGCUCAACCCCGGCGAGCCGUUGAACCUGGCUGUCUUGAGAUGUCGAGAGGUAUGCGGAAUGCGCAGUGUAGCGGUGAAAUGCUUAGAUAUUGCGCAGAACUCCGAUUGCGAAGGCAGCAUACCGGCGGCGAUCUGACGCUGAGGCACGAAAGCGUGGGUAUCGAACAGGAUUAGAUACCCUAGUAGUC
Molecule: ribosomal RNA, 439 nt
Filed under: uncultured bacterium
Lineage: Bacteria
Description: partial 16S ribosomal RNA
Rfam family: Bacterial small subunit ribosomal RNA
Source: RNAcentral